AAUCAUUUGCCUUUUAAUGGAGGCUGGUAUGAAUGGCAAGACGGAGGUUUAGCUGUCUCUCUUUUAGAAUCUUGAAUUUGCCAUCUUCGUGAAGAGGCGAAGAUAAAGUCGUAGGACGAGAAGACCCUGUCGAGCUUAAGCUUUAUAAUAGAGUUGAAAAAUUUUUGUUUUUAGGCUAAUUGAAAAACGACUUAAUUUUACCUAGGAAUAAAGAUUAACUACUAUUAGAAUGUUUUGGUUGGGGCAACCGCGGAGAAAAUACACCCUCCGUUACAAAAUUAGAAAAACUUACUACUUUGGGAAAUUUUAAAGUUUAAAAAUGAUCCACUAAAAAGUGAUCAAAGGAAUAAGUUACCGUAGGGAUAACAGCGUAAUUUUUUUGGAGAGUUCAUAUUGAUAAAAAAGUUUGCGACCUCGAUGUUGGAUCGGGACUUCCAGGAGAUGCAGAAGUUUCCAAGGGUUGGUCUGUUCGACCAUUAAAGUCCUACGUGAUCUGAGUUCAGACCGGA
This 509-nucleotide ribosomal RNA is filed under the name Astropecten aranciacus. RNAcentral's name for it is "partial 16S ribosomal RNA". It matches the Rfam family "Bacterial large subunit ribosomal RNA", at positions 1963 to 2620 of the family's 2925-position model. Lineage: Eukaryota; Metazoa; Echinodermata; Asteroidea; Paxillosida; Astropectinidae. The record is from RNAcentral.